UCAACAUUGCAUUCCCCAAUCCGGGCGAG
This 29-nucleotide small RNA is filed under the name Bombyx mori (domestic silkworm). Its description in RNAcentral is "ovarian small RNA-24599". The record is from RNAcentral. Lineage: Eukaryota; Metazoa; Arthropoda; Insecta; Lepidoptera; Bombycidae.